CCCGCUGAACUUAAGCAUAUCAGUAAGCGGAGGAAAAGAAACUAACAAGGAUUCCCGUAGUAACGGCGAGUGAAGUGGGAAUAGCUCAAAUUUAAAAUCUGGCCUUUGGCCCGAAUUGUAGUCUAAAGAGGUGCUAUCUUGCAUGGCGGCGUGCGCACAAGUGUCCUGGAAUGGUCCAUCACAGAGGGUGAGAAUCCCGUUUGGGUGCACGCCUCAUGCAUUUGUGAGGCACUCUCUAAGAGUCGAGUUGUUUGGGAAUGCAGCUCAAAAUGGGUGGUAAACUUCAUCCAAGGCUAAAUAUUGGCAAGAGACCGAUAGCGAACAAGUACCGUGAGGGAAAGAUGAAAAGCACCUUGAAAAGGGAGUUAAACAGCGCGUGAAAUUGUUAAAAGGGAAACGAUUGAAGCCAGCAUUGUGCGUAUGGUGUGGGGUGGCAUGGUGUGCGGAAUCAAGAGCGCAAGCCUUGGUCCGUGUGCAUAGUGCUAUCAGACCUGCGCGCGAGUCAGGGCCGCUUGGUUUAUGCCUUAGAAGACACUGGGAAGGUAGCCACCGCGUGUGGCCUUAUAGCCCAGUGGGAUGGGGUGUGCUCGAGCUGGUAGUGCAGUUGGCCUUGUUAUGUGCCCUUGGCAGUGCAGACUGCAUGCAGACUACACUGCACGGGGGCGCAGACCGGACAGCCACAAUGCACGUUCCUGACGGAAUGGCUUUAAACGACCCGUCUUGAAACACGG
Molecule: ribosomal RNA, 731 nt
Filed under: uncultured fungus
Lineage: Eukaryota; Fungi
Description: eukaryotic LSU rRNA
Rfam family: Eukaryotic large subunit ribosomal RNA
Source: RNAcentral